GACGAACGCUGGCGGCGUGCUUAACACAUGCAAGUCGAACGGAAAGGCCCUGCUUUUGUGGGGUGCUCGAGUGGCGAACGGGUGAGUAACACGUGAGUAACCUGCCCUUGACUUUGGGAUAACUUCAGGAAACUGGGGCUAAUACCGGAUAGGAGCUCCUGCUGCAUGGUGAGGGUUGGAAAGUUUCGGCGGUUGGGGAUGGACUCGCGGCUUAUCAGCUUGUUGGUGGGGUAGUGGCUUACCAAGGCUUUGGCGGGUAGCCGGCCUGAGAGGGUGACCGGCCACAUUGGGACUGAGAUACGGCCCAGACUCCUACGGGAGGCAGCAGUGGGGAAUAUUGCACAAUGGGCGGAAGCCUGAUGCAGCAACGCCGCGUGCGGGAUGACGGCCUUCGGGUUGUAAACCGCUUUCGCCUGUGACGAAGCGUGAGUGACGGUAAUGGGUAAAGAAGCACCGGCUAACUACGUG
RNAcentral lists this ribosomal RNA (468 nucleotides) under uncultured bacterium. RNAcentral describes it as "partial 16S ribosomal RNA". It matches the Rfam family "Bacterial small subunit ribosomal RNA", at positions 28 to 507 of the family's 1533-position model. The record is from RNAcentral.